GACGAACCGUGCGAACGUUGUUCGGAAUCACUGGGCUUAAAGGGCGCGUAGGCGGGCAGGCAAGUCAGGGGUGAAAGCCCCCAGCUCAACUGGGGAAGCGCCUUUGAUACUGCCGGUCUCGAGGGAGGUAGGGGCGUGCGGAACUUCCGGUGGAGCGGUGAAAUGCGUAGAUAUCGGAAGGAACACCGGUGGCGAAAGCGGCGCGCUGGACCUCUUCUGACGCUGAGGCGCGAAAGCCAGGGGAGCAAACGGG
This 253-nucleotide ribosomal RNA is filed under the name uncultured bacterium. Its description in RNAcentral is "partial 16S ribosomal RNA". It matches the Rfam family "Bacterial small subunit ribosomal RNA", at positions 524 to 776 of the family's 1533-position model. RNAcentral also lists the same sequence under 1 other name. The record is from RNAcentral.